Lagopus muta (rock ptarmigan) is the source of this 1686-nucleotide long non-coding RNA. RefSeq lists it as uncharacterized. The record is from RefSeq and is a predicted model, not a curated record. The transcript is spliced from 3 exons. NCBI's taxonomy places the organism in Eukaryota, Metazoa, Chordata, Aves, Galliformes, Phasianidae.
GUUGGUUGGGUGGGACGGGAGGUGACGGCUUCAGGUGGCUCUGGGGUGGGUCAGGUUGGGUGUCAGGAAAGCUUUUAUCUGAAGGAGUGGUGAAGCACCGACACAGCUGCCCAGGGAGUGGGGUUGUCACCGUCCCUGGGGGUGUCCCAGAGCUGUGGGGAUGUGAUACUGAGGGACGUGGGGGUGGAUUGGGGAUCUGAGAAGUCUUUCCCAACCUUCACGAUUGUAUGAAAGCUAUGGAGCCAGGCUGAGAGCUGGAAGUGUUCAGCCUGUGGAAAAGAAGGCUCGGCAGAGAGCUUACAGCACCUAAAGGGGCUGCAGGAGAGCUGGGGUGGGCUGUUUGUCAGCUAUGUGGUGUUAAGCUCAAAGAAACUGGAUUUAGAUUAGAUGAGGAAGAAAUUAUUCACCACCAGGGUGGGGAGGCUCCAGCACUGCAGUCCCAAGCUGUGGGUGCCCAACUCUGGCAGUGCCCAAGGUGGUGGAUGGUGCUGUGGGCAUUGGGCUGUGGGAGGCUUCCCUGCCCGUGGAGGGAUUGAAACUGGCUGAGCUCUGAGAUCCUUUCCAACCCAAAUGUUCUGUGAUUUAUAUUUUUUAACCUUUCUCAUGUAUCAGCUUUGAUCUCAGCUCAGUUCCAAGCAGACAGGUGUUUGUGUCGCAGCCCAUCCUUGUGUUUGAUGAGUGCUGAUGCUCCUCUGUCACAAAAACGAAAGGCCUGGAGGCGUUUUGUUCACAAGAUGAUAGAAACUGAUGCCUCCAUCUCAAGGGAAGGAGGGUGUACCUUCAGAGUGCUGCGCUUCCUUCAGCAAACUUCAAAGCGGGGAUGGCUGCAGUUGAGAACAGUUUGAUUCUUUUUCUGUUGAUGUCUGUGUAUUUACAAGCACAGUUCUUGUGUGUUUGUUUUGAGAUGAAGCUCCUCGUGCUGUGUGUGAGAUUUGGUGUGAAAUCUUCAACGCAGCAUCAGCCACUGAGUGAAUUCUGUUAGUGGAAGAUGCUAACAAAGUACUUCUGGCAAUCUUUGUGUGCAGCCUUCAGCUCCCAUGUGAGAGCACUUUGUGGUUACACUUAAAGAGCUCUAAGAAAUACCACACUCUCAAGGUGUUCUGUGUCUUCUGCUGUGUCCUCUGUGUGUGGAGCUGUGGUUGUUUCAGAAGGAAAUGAAGCAGUUGCUAAGGGAAGUACAUCGUAGUGCAGGAGGAGUUUCAGCAGAGCUGUACAAAGCACACACAAGACAGUUUUCUUUCCUCCCUCUCCUUUGUGCUGAUCCAUAAGUUUUUGUUUCCUGCUUCCUGAUGACUUAAAUCUGGUAAUAUCUGUAUUUCAGAGGUGUUAUCUGGUAAAUCAUGCUCUUAGUCCCUAAAUUGCUCAAGUUUUUCUCAACCAAGACAGCAGUGGCAUGGGAUCGAGGCUUUGUACUCCCAUAAAAGGGCUGCUUGCUUCAUGUUUGUGUUUGUACUUCACCAGUGAGCUGAAUCAGGGUAGCCAAGAACUGCCACCACAGACACUGUCAUUCAAAGGGAAGUCCAUGCCUGUAAGCUGUGCUAUCUGGGAUUCAUUGCUGUGAAGCAUCUCCUUCUGCAGGUUUUUUUUUCCCCUCUGCUGGUGGCAGAGUUGAAAUCUGCAGAGCCUUUCUUUGGCAGUGGAGCUUUAGUGCUGGAGUGGCUGCGGUGCAACACAGCUCCCUCUCAC